RNAcentral lists this transfer RNA (73 nucleotides) under Camelus bactrianus (Bactrian camel). It matches the Rfam family "tRNA". Rfam says of the family: Transfer RNA (tRNA) molecules are approximately 80 nucleotides in length. Their secondary structure includes four short double-helical elements and three loops (D, anti-codon, and T loops). Further hydrogen bonds mediate the characteristic L-shaped molecular structure. tRNAs have two regions of fundamental functional importance: the anti-codon, which is responsible for specific mRNA codon recognition, and the 3' end, to which the tRNAs corresponding amino acid is attached (by aminoacyl-tRNA synthetases). tRNAs cope with the degeneracy of the genetic code in two manners: having more than one tRNA (with a specific anti-codon) for a particular amino acid; and 'wobble' base-pairing, i.e. permitting non-standard base-pairing at the 3rd anti-codon position. Lineage: Eukaryota; Metazoa; Chordata; Mammalia; Artiodactyla; Camelidae. The record is from Rfam by way of RNAcentral. RNAcentral also lists the same sequence under 2 other names.
GAGGGAAUAGCUCAAGUGGUAGAGCACAUGCUUAGCAUGCAUGAGGUCCUGGGUUCAAUCCCCAGUACCUCCU